RNAcentral lists this long non-coding RNA (209 nucleotides) under Prunus persica (peach). RNAcentral's name for it is "long non-coding RNA (PPER_LNC001607)". The record is from RNAcentral. Lineage: Eukaryota; Viridiplantae; Streptophyta; Magnoliopsida; Rosales; Rosaceae.
UUCCUUUUUAUUGAAGGAUUUCUCAAAUAAUUAUUUGAGGGAUGCCCUUCAGGGUACCCUACAAUUUUUUUUUCCAAUGAUCCAAACCAUCUAUUUUUUAGGUCUUCAUUCAUAGAUCAUCAUCACAAAAAAUUAGAAAUAUUGGAAACUGUUUCGACAUCCAAUUGUGGCCUACAAAAUCAAUGAACACGGUGGUGCUUCAAGAAAUU